RNAcentral lists this ribosomal RNA (1096 nucleotides) under Escherichia coli. RNAcentral describes it as "partial 23S ribosomal RNA". It matches the Rfam family "Bacterial large subunit ribosomal RNA", at positions 53 to 1191 of the family's 2925-position model. Lineage: Bacteria; Pseudomonadati; Pseudomonadota; Gammaproteobacteria; Enterobacterales; Enterobacteriaceae. The record is from RNAcentral.
AGGACGUGCUAAUCUGCGAUAAGCGUCGGUGAGGUGAUAUGAACCGUUAUAACCGGCGAUUUCCGAAUGGGGAAACCCAGUGUGUUUCGACACACUAUCAUUAACUGAAUCCAUAGGUUAAUGAGGCGAACCGGGGGAACUGAAACAUCUAAGUACCCCGAGGAAAAGAAAUCAACCGAGAUUCCCCCAGUAGCGGCGAGCGAACGGGGAGGAGCCCAGAGCCUGAAUCAGUGUGUGUGUUAGUGGAAGCGUCUGGAAAGGCGUGCGAUACAGGGUGACAGCCCCGUACACAAAAAUGCACAUAUUGUGAGCUCGAUGAGUAGGGCGGGACACGUGGUAUCCUGUCUGAAUAUGGGGGGACCAUCCUCCAAGGCUAAAUACUCCUGACUGACCGAUAGUGAACCAGUACCGUGAGGGAAAGGCGAAAAGAACCCCGGCGAGGGGAGUGAAAAAGAACCUGAAACCGUGUACGUACAAGCAGUGGGAGCCUCUUAAUGGGGUGACUGCGUACCUUUUGUAUAAUGGGUCAGCGACUUAUAUUCUGUAGCAAGGUUAACCGAAUAGGGGAGCCGAAGGGAAACCGAGUCUUAACUGGGCGUUAAGUUGCAGGGUAUAGACCCGAAACCCGGUGAUCUAGCCAUGGGCAGGUUGAAGGUUGGGUAACACUAACUGGAGGACCGAACCGACUAAUGUUGAAAAAUUAGCGGAUGACUUGUGGCUGGGGGUGAAAGGCCAAUCAAACCGGGAGAUAGCUGGUUCUCCCCGAAAGCUAUUUAGGUAGCGCCUCGUGAAUUCAUCUCCGGGGGUAGAGCACUGUUUCGGCAAGGGGGUCAUCCCGACUUACCAACCCGAUGCAAACUGCGAAUACCGGAGAAUGUUAUCACGGGAGACACACGGCGGGUGCUAACGUCCGUCGUGAAGAGGGAAACAACCCAGACCGCCAGCUAAGGUCCCAAAGUCAUGGUUAAGUGGGAAACGAUGUGGGAAGGCCCAGACAGCCAGGAUGUUGGCUUAGAAGCAGCCAUCAUUUAAAGAAAGCGUAAUAGCUCACUGGUCGAGUCGGCCUGCGCGGAAGAUGUAACGGGGCUAAACCAUG